This 207-nucleotide ribosomal RNA is filed under the name uncultured bacterium. Its description in RNAcentral is "partial 16S ribosomal RNA". It matches the Rfam family "Bacterial small subunit ribosomal RNA", at positions 568 to 774 of the family's 1533-position model. The record is from RNAcentral.
AGCGCAGGCGGGAAGACAAGUUGGAAGUGAAAUCCAUGGGCUCAACCCAUCAACUGCUUUCAAAACUGUUUUUCUUGAGUAGUGCAGAGGUAGGCGGAAUUCCCGGUGUAGCGGUGGAAUGCGUAGAUAUCGGGAGGAACACCAGUGGCGAAGGCGGCCUACUGGGCACCAACUGACGCUGAGGCUCGAAAGUGUGGGUAGCGAACA